Molecule: ribosomal RNA, 440 nt
Filed under: uncultured bacterium
Lineage: Bacteria
Description: partial 16S ribosomal RNA
Rfam family: Bacterial small subunit ribosomal RNA
Source: RNAcentral
CCUACGGGUGGCACCAGUGGGGAAUAUUGCACAAUGGGGGAAACCCUGAUGCAGCGACGCCGCGUGAGUGAAGAAGUCAUUCGUUAUGUAAAACUCUAUCAGCCGGGAAGAAAAUGACGGUACCUGAGUAAGAAGCCCCGGCUAACUACGUGCCAGCAGCCGCGGUCAUACGGAGGGGGCAAGCGUUAUCCGGAUUGACGGGGGUUAAAGGGAGCGUAGACGGGAGUGCAAGUCUGGUGUGAAAGACGGGGGCUCAACCCCCGGACUGCUGUGGAAACUGUCCGGCUGGAGUGCAGGAGAGGUAAGUGGAAUUCGUGGUGUAGCGGUGAAAUGCGUAGAUAUUAGGAGGAACACCAGUGGCGAAGGCAGCUUACCGGACUGUAACUGACGUUGAGGCUCGAAAGCGUGGGGAGCAAACAGGAUUAGAUACCCCAGUAGUC